This 374-nucleotide ribosomal RNA is filed under the name Ocellularia aff. cavata Papong 8257. RNAcentral describes it as "SSU rRNA". It matches the Rfam family "Bacterial small subunit ribosomal RNA", at positions 362 to 731 of the family's 1533-position model. Lineage: Eukaryota; Fungi; Ascomycota; Lecanoromycetes; Ostropales; Graphidaceae. The record is from RNAcentral.
UAUUGGUCAAUAGCCUAACGGCUGAACCAGCAACUUGGAGGAAUGUAUAGGGAAAACUGGUAAAAUGUGAUGUACCUAGUAAUAUUAGUAAUAAAUAUGAGAUUAACUAAGUUAAUUAAAAUUCUAAGUAGAUAUGUGAUUAUGACAAUAUCUGCAUAGGUCUUGACCAAGUCACGUGCCAGCAGUCGCGGUAAUACGUGGAAGACGAGCGUUAUUCAUCUUUAUUGGGUUUAAAGGGUACCUAGACAGUUAAUAAAGCAAUAAAAUGUACUAAUUAACUAGAGUUUAAUGUAAGAAGGAUUGAGUACGGUGAGAGUAGAGAUAAAAUUUUUUGAUACCACUUAGGAACUGGUAACAGCGAAGGCUACCUUCAA